Molecule: ribosomal RNA, 253 nt
Filed under: uncultured bacterium
Lineage: Bacteria
Description: partial 16S ribosomal RNA
Rfam family: Bacterial small subunit ribosomal RNA
Source: RNAcentral
UACAGAGGGUGCGAGCGUUAAUCGGAAUUACUGGGCGUAAAGCGCACGUAGGCGGCUUGGUAUGUCGGGUGUGAAAUCCCCGGGCUCAACCUGGGAACUGCCUUUGUGACUGCAAGGCUUGAGUGCGGCAGAGGGGGAUGGAAUUCCGCGUGUAGCAGUGAAAUGCGUAGAUAUGCGGAGGAACACCGAUGGCGAAGGCAAUCCCCUGGGUCUGCACUGACGCUCAUGCACGAAAGCGUGGGGAGCAAACAGG